RNAcentral lists this ribosomal RNA (497 nucleotides) under uncultured bacterium. RNAcentral describes it as "partial 16S ribosomal RNA". It matches the Rfam family "Bacterial small subunit ribosomal RNA", at positions 28 to 507 of the family's 1533-position model. The record is from RNAcentral.
GAUGAACGCUGGCGGCGUGCCUAAUACAUGCAAGUCGAGCGAACGGACGAGAAGCUUGCUUCUCUGAUGUUAGCGGCGGACGGGUGAGUAACACGUGGAUAACCUACCUAUAAGACUGGGAUAACUUCGGGAAACCGGAGCUAAUACCGGAGAAUAUUUUGAACCGCAUGGUUCAAAAGUGAAAGACGGUCUUGCUGUCACUUAUAGAUGGAUCCGCGCUGCAUUAGCUAGUUGGUAAGGUAACGGCUUACCAAGGCAACGAUGCAUAGCCGACCUGAGAGGGUGAUCGGCCACACUGGAACUGAGACACGGUCCAGACUCCUACGGGAGGCAGCAGUAGGGAAUCUUCCGCAAUGGGCGAAAGCCUGACGGAGCAACGCCGCGUGAGUGAUGAAGGUCUCCGGAUCGUAAAACUCUGUUAUUAGGGAAGAACAUAUGUGUAAGUAACUGUGCACAUCUUGACGGUACCUAAUCAGAAAGCCACGGCUAACUACGUG